GGCCAAGGACAAGGGAGGAUAAAAUAUGGAUGAGAAGCUACAAACCAAAAGGAAUAGAGGAGCAAUGGGGAACAAGUGUAAACACAGUCAAAUAACACCCAAACCCUCUAAUUCAAUCCUCUUCUUGACUCCAUUAUUCACACAAUUUUUUUUUCUUAUUUUUCUGUAUUUUUUUUCUUUUUUUUUCAUCUUGUCUCUUUUCUGAUCUCUCCU
This 213-nucleotide long non-coding RNA is filed under the name Vigna radiata. Its description in RNAcentral is "long non-coding RNA (VRAD_LNC013636)". The record is from RNAcentral. Lineage: Eukaryota; Viridiplantae; Streptophyta; Magnoliopsida; Fabales; Fabaceae.